RNAcentral lists this ribosomal RNA (441 nucleotides) under uncultured bacterium. RNAcentral's name for it is "partial 16S ribosomal RNA". It matches the Rfam family "Bacterial small subunit ribosomal RNA", at positions 338 to 795 of the family's 1533-position model. The record is from RNAcentral.
CCUACGGGUGGCAGCAGUGGGGAAUAUUGCACAAUGGGGGAAACCCUGAUGCAGCGACGCCGCGUGAGUGAGGAAGUAUUUCGGUAUGUAAAGCUCUAUCAGCAGGGACUAGAAAAGACGGUACCUGACAAAGAAGCCCCGGCUAACUACGUGCCAGCAGCCGCGGUAAUACGUAGGGGGCAAGCGUUAUCCGGAUUUACUGGGUGUAAAGGGAGCGUAGACGGAAAGGCAAGUCAGAAGUGAAAGGGCAGGGCUCAACCAUGUGAAUGCUUUUGAAACUGUGGAACUAGAGUACGGGAGAGGUAAGAGGAAUUCCUAGUGUAGCGGUGAAAUGCGUAGAUAUUAGGAGGAACACCAGUGGCGAAGGCGUCUUACUGGACUGUAACUGACGUUGAGGCUCGAAAGCGUGGGGAGCAAACAGGAUUAGAUACCCCAGUAGUC